This 372-nucleotide ribosomal RNA is filed under the name uncultured organism. Its description in RNAcentral is "bacterial SSU rRNA". It matches the Rfam family "Bacterial small subunit ribosomal RNA", at positions 526 to 896 of the family's 1533-position model. The record is from RNAcentral.
CAGGGGGGGUAAGCGUUGUUCGGAAUUACUGGGCGUAAAGGGUUCGUAGGUGGCUUGCUAAGUCUGACGUGAAAUCCCUCAGCUUAACUGGGGAACUGCGUCUGAUACUGGCGAGCUUGAGUGCAGGAGAGGAACGCGGAAUUCCAGGUGUAGCGGUGAAAUGCGUAGAUAUCUGGAGGAACACCGGUGGCGAAGGCGGCGUUCUGGACUGCAACUGACACUGAGGAACGAAAGCCAGGGGAGCAAACGGGAUUAGAUACCCCGGUAGUCCUGGCCCUAAACGAUGAAUGCUUGGUGUGGCGGGUAUCGAUCCCCGCUGUGCCGAAGUUAACGCGUUAAGCAUUCCGCCUGGGGAGUACGGUCGCAAGGCUG